AUGUAUAUCAUUCCUGAAGAAGUAAAAGAAGCUCUUGCAGUUGAACUUGAAGAACCAGAAAUUCAUUUGCCCGUCGUCAUACAAGAGCGUGAUGUAGCAGGUUUAUCUAAUCCUCUCGAGGACAUGCGUCCUUAUGAUUACUUUGCUUCUACCUUGCAUUACAUGAUACCAUCACUUAAGAUUGAUUUGAAAACUCAUUUGCUUGGAUAUGAUGAUACAUACACUGUUGGUGGCAUUGCUCUCAUUUAUGUUGAUGACACUUAUUCUCUUCAUGCUAACCUAUGCUUAAUGAUAAAUAUCAUCCUCAUGUUAGUCUUGAGCUUGCGGAUUCCUAUCAUACUCAUCAUGUUCUAUAUUCCUAUGCUUAUAUAA
This 372-nucleotide ribosomal RNA is filed under the name Triticum aestivum (bread wheat). RNAcentral's name for it is "partial small subunit ribosomal RNA". The record is from RNAcentral. Lineage: Eukaryota; Viridiplantae; Streptophyta; Magnoliopsida; Poales; Poaceae.